CUGGAGGUGAUGCAGAUAUUGAUACCUGAUGUCAACUGAAGGUUAUCGUAUUCAUACUGUCUGAUCUAG
Non-coding RNA from Pelobates cultripes (western spadefoot toad), 69 nucleotides. The record is from the annotation of a GenBank genome assembly. NCBI's taxonomy places the organism in Eukaryota, Metazoa, Chordata, Amphibia, Anura, Pelobatidae.